Molecule: long non-coding RNA, 348 nt
Organism: Bubalus bubalis (water buffalo)
Lineage: Eukaryota; Metazoa; Chordata; Mammalia; Artiodactyla; Bovidae
Exons: 2
Source: RefSeq, a predicted model, not a curated record
GGGGUACCACGAAGAUCAGGCUGGGUCGGCGUUCACUCCUGCAGCAAGAAAUGGGCAGCCUGGCAAAUGAGUCUUCCAGGUCCCUCCAGGCUUCACGGUAAUUUCACUCACCUUUUGUUUUCGCAGGGAAGUGUUGAAAUCUGCAGCGGCUGAAAGAAUAGAUGUUGAAUUUGCUUUUGAAAAAUCAUCAUAAAAGAAAAAGUCAGCGUCUUUUGUUGUACCCACACGUUCCGGGAAACAAGCUCACUCAGAAGGACAGUGCAGAUAGUGGAGUGCGGUUUAUUACACCGGCGAGCCCAAGGCAGAGUCUCCUCUUAGCCAAGGACCCCGACCAGUUUUUGUGAAAAC